RNAcentral lists this long non-coding RNA (243 nucleotides) under Citrus maxima (pomelo). RNAcentral describes it as "long non-coding RNA (CMAX_LNC003786)". The record is from RNAcentral. Lineage: Eukaryota; Viridiplantae; Streptophyta; Magnoliopsida; Sapindales; Rutaceae.
CACAAUCCAUCAGUUGGACAUAACCAACCUCUCCUUGGGGAAAAUCUACCAGUUAGCAGUCAAUUGUCUGGAAAGACUUUGUGAACAGAAGGAAUUCUUCAAAGACUUCAUGAAAAAAAAGUAGCCUUUCAAAAGUGCUUGUAAAAAAUCCCAUCUCUCCAUUAAGUGCAAGAGCGAAAAAGAUUGCACUUGUUCAACAAAAAAGAGAUCCCAUUUCCGGAAACUCCAGAAUUCAGAAAAAAG